AGACAGGAAGGCUGGAGACAAGCCAUCACAUUACCCACUUGGCCACCCCAGCAGACAGGAAGGCUGGAGACAAGUCAUCACAUUACCCACUUGGCCACUCCAACAGACAGGAAGGUUGGAGACAAGUCAUCACAUUACCCACUUGGCCACCCCAGCAGACAAGAAGGCUGGAGACAAGUCAUCACAUUACCCACCCCAGCAGACAGGAAGGCUGGAGACAAGUCAUCACAUUACCCACUUGGCCACCCCAGCAGACAAGAAGGCUGGAGACAAGUCAUCACAUUACCCACCCCAGCAGACAGGAAGGCUGGAGACAAGUCAUCACAUUACCCACUUGGCCACCCCAGCAGACAGGAAGGCAGAAGACAAGUCAUCACAUUACCCACUUGGCCACCCCAACAUCAUAUUACCAUCAGCGGAAACCCUCCAAACCGGCUUUCUUUGGGACUAGCAAAUAAUGCUUGUAUAGAGGGUGUCGCCUACUUAGGUAAUCCUUAUCCAUACUCCUUUUAUCAGUCAACAUCAAUGAGCUUAAUGCCGAUGGUAUUCACUGUGUUGUUAAUACACGUUCGGCCAAUCAGCCAAUAAAAAGGAGAGCCGAGAUACCAGAUGCCAGUUUAGAGAGUGUUAAUAACUGUACAAACUGUCAAUUGGGCGGUCUUUGUUGUGCAGAAAUACGGAAUAGACUGACACUGGAUUGGAGGGCGUGUAAAUGAUCAUAAAUUAACUAGCUUCUGCCGGGACCA
This 746-nucleotide unclassified non-coding RNA is filed under the name Haliotis rubra (blacklip abalone). RNAcentral describes it as "uncharacterized LOC124273000, transcript variant X1". The record is from RNAcentral. Lineage: Eukaryota; Metazoa; Mollusca; Gastropoda; Lepetellida; Haliotidae.